RNAcentral lists this ribosomal RNA (275 nucleotides) under uncultured bacterium. Its description in RNAcentral is "partial 16S ribosomal RNA". It matches the Rfam family "Bacterial small subunit ribosomal RNA", at positions 81 to 354 of the family's 1533-position model. The record is from RNAcentral.
CGUCCCGCCGGCGACCGGCGCACGGGUGAGUAACACGUAUGCAACCUGGCCGCCACAGGGGGAUAACCCGCGGAAACGCGGCCUAAUACCCCGUGACGCCACCGGAGGGCAUCCUCCGGUGGCCAAAGGAGCGAUCCGGUGGCGGAUGGGCAUGCGGCGCAUUAGCUAGACGGCGGGGUGACGGCCCACCGUGGCGACGAUGCGUAGGGGUUCCGAGAGGAAGGCCCCCCACACUGGGACUGAGACACGGCCCAGACUCCUACGGAAGGCAGCAG